This is a non-coding RNA of Macaca mulatta (Rhesus monkey), 1241 nucleotides long. NCBI's taxonomy places the organism in Eukaryota, Metazoa, Chordata, Mammalia, Primates, Cercopithecidae. The record is from RefSeq and is a predicted model, not a curated record.
AAGUGCUGGAAUUACAGGCAUGAGCCACCAUGCCUAGCAUAGAGUAUUACAUUAUUUUCAAAGUCUUUUUCUAAGAUCUAUUUAUUGACUUUGGCCUAAAUAACUCAAUAUAAUAUCUCAGAAACUUUUUUUUGACAAAUUUUGGGGCAUGAUGAUGAGAGAAGGGGGUUUGAAACUUUCUAAUAAGAGUUAACUUGGAGCCAUUUAAGGAGGAACAAACACAAAUUAUCAGAAAAAUAAAAGAAAGAUCAAGUGCAGAAGUUCUGUGGCAAAGAUGAUAGUAAAGAAUAUAUGAUUGUGACUCAUGGUGGCUUUUACUUUGUUCUUGAAUUUCUGAGUAACUUAAGGGUUAACAUUUAAAGAAUGUGUGUUAUAGAUAACAUUUUAUUGCAAGUAAAUAUAUUUCAAAUUUUGUUACUGGUUUUGUAUGAGAUUAUUCUCAGCCUCCUUCAUUAUCAAGCUGUAUUAUUUUAUUAAUGUAGUUUGAUGAUAUUACAACAGAGCUGGGAGCUGUAUCUUCAAAAUAUGUCUAUUUGACUAAAUAAAAUCAAGUUAUUCAAUGGGAGUUAUUAUCUAUGAAAAAAGUACAACAGGAAUGUAAAAAAUUUGAGGAGAAUAAAAAUAUGUUGGAAGAAGAAAUAUUAAAUCUUAAGAUGCUUAUGGAAAGAACACACUGGUGAAGACAAAUUGGUGAUGUACAAAAUUAUAAGUUGGAUCUAGAAGAAAGCGCAAUGCAGGCAAUAGAAAAAUGAGUAGAAAUCCCUUUACAGGUUAGUUUGUAAAAUCAGGUAAGUUUAUUUAUAAUGUGCUUCUAUUUAUUUCACUGCAAAUUAUAUUUUGGAGAUAUAUAUAUAUUUCCUCUGCCUCUCUAAUAGCAAUUUGCCUUGUAGAAUUCUAGCAAUAAGGUGGCAUCUGUUUUUACUUUCAAAUAUUUAAAUUUCCAUCAUUAUAACAAAAUUGAUUUUUCAGAGUAAUGAUUCUCACUAUGGAGUCAUUUGAUUAAUAAGACCCAUUGGCAUAAGAUUACAUCUUCUGACUGCAAAAAUCCUGGAAGAAAAACUAGGAAAUAUUCUUCUGGACAUUGCACUUCGCAAUGAAUUUGUGGGUUUCCAAAAGUAAGUGUAAUGUGAGAGUUUCAUGAUGCUAAAUAAACUGAAACGUGAUACAUAUUUUGAUGGAUUGUCCUUGAGAGCAGGCUGGUGAGACCUUCAGAUAGAAAAUGCAGUUCAAAGAUAUUUCAU